UACGUAGGCAGCGAGCGUUGUUCGGAGUUACUGGGCGUAAAGCGUGCGUAGGCGGUGGUCCAAGUCUGGUGUGAAAUCUCCCGGCUCAACUGGGAGGGUGCGCCGGAAACUGGGCCGCUGGAGUACGGGAGAGGCAAGCGGAAUUCCAGGUGUAGCGGUGAAAUGCGUAGAUAUCUGGAGGAACACCCGUGGUGCAGACGGCUUGCUGGACAGUGACUGACGCUGAGGCACGAAAGCGUGGGUAGCAAACAGG
RNAcentral lists this ribosomal RNA (253 nucleotides) under uncultured bacterium. RNAcentral describes it as "partial 16S ribosomal RNA". It matches the Rfam family "Bacterial small subunit ribosomal RNA", at positions 524 to 776 of the family's 1533-position model. The record is from RNAcentral.